RNAcentral lists this ribosomal RNA (498 nucleotides) under uncultured bacterium. RNAcentral describes it as "partial 16S ribosomal RNA". It matches the Rfam family "Bacterial small subunit ribosomal RNA", at positions 28 to 507 of the family's 1533-position model. The record is from RNAcentral.
GACGAACGCUGGCGGCGUGCCUAAUACAUGCAAGUCGAACGAGAGCGACCGGUGCUUGCGCUGGUCAAUCUAGUGGCGAACGGGUGAGUAACACGUGGGUAACCUGCCCAUCAGAGGGGGAUAACAUCCGGAGACGGAUGCUAAAACCGCAUAGGUCUUCGAGCCGCAUGGCUUGAGGAGGAAACGAGGCGCACGCUUCUGCUGAUGGAUGGACCCGCGGUGCAUUAGCUAGUUGGUGAGGUAACGGCUCACCAAGGCCGUGAUGCGUAGCCGACCUGAGAGGAUGAUCAGCCACACUGGAACUGAGACACGGCCCAGACUCCUACGGGAGGCAGCAGUAGGGAAUCUUCCGCAAUGGACGCAAGCCUGACGGAGCAACGCCGCGUGAGUGAAGAAGGUUUUCGGAUCGUAAAACUCUGUUGUUAGGGAAGAACAACUGCUAGAGUAACUGUUAGCGUCUUGACGGUACCUAACCAGAAAGCCACGGCUAACUACGUG